AGGCACCCGCGCCCGCCGGCGCCGGCGCCGGCGCCCCGGGAGAGAGCGCGCGGGCUGCGGCUACGUACGGUUGUUGGGGUCGCUGGUGUGCUGGUUGAGCGGGAUGAUCUCCAUGCGCUGCUGGCCAUACAGGUAAUAGUCCAGCUCCUCUGCGCUGCAGCGGAAGCGCGGGGCGCCGCGACCCUCCCCGCCGCCGCCGCCACCACCACCGCACUUGACGGGCCCGGGGCCGGAGGUGGCGCCGAGGCACAGUUCCUUGGGGGGCAGCGGCUCGGCGGCGACGGCAGCGGCGGCUAGAGGCGCGAACACCGGCAGCUGCGACACCGGCAGGGCCGAGAGACCAGCCAGCGCGGCGGCAGCGGCCGCAGCAGCGCAGGAGGAGGCGGAGGAGGCGGAGGUGGAAGAGGAAGCCGGCGUGGACGAGGCGGAGGAGAGAGAGGCGGGCCGCGGGCGCAGGCUGUCCGGCGGAGGCUCAGCGCGCUCCGGGGGCGGGGGCGGCGGCGGCGGCUGAAGAGGCUGCGGCGCGCUCAGGAGACCCGCGGCGCCGCUGCCCUUGAGCGGGCCUGCGCCUCCGUGAGGGAAGAGUUGCUGCCAGUGCUGCAGUUUUCUGAACCUGGGAAACGUGCUGUUCAGACUUCAUCCGGGUCUCAUUCAGGAUGCUUCGAUGUUGGUUGGAAGAGAGUUAGACCGAAAAUGUUUUGACUGGCGUCGUUAUGACAAGGUCAUCCGUCAUUGUUGGAUAGAUUGAUAGCACCCAAGUUUAAGGCAGACACCACGAGGGAAAGCCCACGGCGCUGUGGUCCCGGAGGCUAACCAGGCAGUGUCCGCAGACCUCCAGCAACUCCAUCGGGAGGAGAGGAUGAAGUUCCAGGCCCGUUUCAAUUAAUCUGCUCGCAGAACUGCCGAAGAGUGGCUUGUCGGGCCACGGGAGAAGAAACAAAUGCUCUUUCUCACACUCUCCUGGUUCAUUGCUGAGAAACCAGGACACUCCUCUGUUCCCUGGGAGAGACAGUGAACUCCAGGGAUGGAAGUCCGGACUCCGGCGGCGGUCCCGUCAUUUGCCUUCUUGUUUCUGCCCAAACCCAGCUAGUUCCAAGCGCUUGGUCCCCAAGACUGGAAGUCCCCAAGAACCUACCUCUACCUGUCCCAACCCUGCCUCCCCCCUACCCUUUCACCCCCUGCCACCAUUAGAAAGUCUCUGGAUUUUGAAAUGCUAGUUGCAGCAGCUGCUUCCGUGGCCUCAUGCCGCCCACACUCUGGGAAGCGGAGGAGGGAGGGUUCCUCUCGUAAUAAGAUUAGCUGACCUGUUAAUGAGAGUUUUGGACGUGCCGGGCGGGGGUAGGCGCUUUAUGUCCAUUUAAUCCACCUACAUGCGGAGAAGGCAUUAUCAUUAACCCCCAUAUUGUAGAUGGGGACCGCUGAGGUUCGGAAAGUUUAGAUGGGUUGCCUAAGGUCACGCCAUUAAUGAGUAAUGGAGACGGAUUCAAAUACCGUUCGGUAAGGUGCCAAGUGCAUCUUCUGCCUACCCUAGUCCAACCUGUAGCCACUCGGUCCAGACUGACGCCAGAGGGGCUAUCAUGGGAGAGAUUUGGUUCCCCUCGCUGCGGGGUCCAGGGAAGAAGCUGAGAAGGUAGCAAAGUCCCCCUCGCCCACUACGUCUACAGGUGGCGUACCUGGGUAAUCCGAUUCAAGCUUCCGCCACACCCACCCCGGGCACAAGUCGAUCCCGAGGCUUACGGGACCCUAAGGCCCAGAGGCUACAGGAACCUCCCGUGAAGGGGGCAGGAGAAAGUUUGAGGGAGAGCCCUGAAGGUCCGGGAGCGAACGAAAAAGUCUGGAAGGGAAUAGACCAGGAGUCAGGACCUCCCCUGCACCUCCCCAGCAGGCCCACUGCGCCGAGCGGGGCCCCUGCCUCCACCGCGGCUUCCGGGAUGCCCGCAGAGCUCGGCAUCCUCACCCGGUGCGCACAAGGGCGCGCAGCGGCGUAAGCUGGACCCCCGACGCUGCGCGCGCUCUGAGGGGCGCUUCCCCCUCACACAGUUGACCCUGGGCCCGCUUGGUCACGGCCACCCUGGCGCAUCUCAAUAGUUUUUAGAAAGUGAGCCCACCGACGGCAAGGACAUGCACCCCCUCAAAUCCGCUUCCCCCACCCCCUUCAAUACUGAGAAGACCACGGAAACAAAUCACUUCGACCACUUAGAAAGCGAUCAAACCUUUAUAAAAAUCCAUCGCUCCCAAAUCGAUGGGUGAAUAUUUGCUGGGAAUUUGUUCCAGAGGAAUAAAUGAGGAGCCUUGAGUGUAUUAAAUGCAAACGGGGGGACACGGUGGUGUUUUUCUUCAUUGAUUAAUGACCUCUAAAAUAAAACAAGUGGGAAGAGGAGCCAGGAUCGAUAAAUUACCCAAAUUCAUCAUUUUCUCGAGCAUUUUCGCCCCGAAAAUUAUCCUUGGGAAGCCCAUUGUACCCUGAGCUGGGAGGGGAAGGAUGUAGCUGGAGGCCAGGGUAGGGAGGGAGCAGCAGAAGGGGUAGGAGGAGAGAAGGGGGUUCUGUCCAGGAGACCCUCUAUCUGAUUCCGUUUAACAUACAAUUCAAAAGUUUGCCUUUCAUAUUAUUUUUUCUUGAUGGGGGAGUGGAACAAAUGGUCGGUUGCCUUUGACAGGACUCCAAUAAAGGAUUCAGCAGCUCUCCGCUCUGCCCUGGGUGCUCCUGCUUCUAGUAGGUUUAAGGUCACGGGUGGCUGAGUUAAUAAUUCAUUAAUAUAGACAUUUAUUCAGAAGGGUUCGCUGAGAUCCACUCUUCCUGCCUCCUCCCAGAGAUUUGUUUUCCUAGGAAAUGGAUGGGGGUGGGGGGUGGGCUGCAGGUGAAAGGAGGGGGGCGGGAGGAGAAGGAAAGGCUGGAUGUAGCUAGGAGGAAUCUUUGCUGAGCCGUAUUAGCAGACAGGUCCCUUGAGCCUGCCAGCAAAAACUUGGUUGAAAAUGUGGUAUCUAAACAGCACAGAGACUCUGGCCUGCGGUGGCCCUUUUUCCUUCCAUACCUGUUCAUUCGCUUGUUUAGAAAGCUCCUUUCCUCCAUGGUUUGGGACCAGGGAGGAGCCUUCUCACUGAGGAUCUUGGAUUGCAGGCAAAAGGGAAAGCUGUGAGAAAAAAACAGGACCCCACCCCCAUCCCUAUGAGGUUCCCAAGGGAGGAGCUUUGAAACUUGCCCAGACUUGGAAUCUAAGGGAACCUCCUCUCCUGAGGGCACAGGCAACUUUUGGAGGACACUCCACCCCUCAGAAAUGGGAUCAUGGAGAAGGGGGUUGGAGGCGGAGACUGAAAGUAAAUAGUAAGUAAUAAAUCAGUAAUGGUUAGAUGGGAAUAAGUGCUAUGGAAAGCAAUAAAGGAUAGAGGGAAAGGGAGUGCAUGUAGGUGGAAGGAGUUACUGUUUUACAUAUAGUGGCCAGGGAAAGCUUCUGUUAGAAAGUGAAAUUUAAAUAGAGACUUGAAGCAAGAAGAUGCCAGUUUUCUGUCCAGAGCGGGAUAUUCCCUGCCCUAACCUAUAGCCAGUGGCUAAAGCAGUAAAAGGGGCCUCUCCUGAAGAACUGUCAAGGAUUUGCCUCCUCGCUACUGGCCACACUUGCUUCCCUUAAGCUGCUGUGUACUACUCGAUAUUCUUUCAGUACCUCCAUUGACUGUUCUCAUCAAUUGGAGUCGCCUAACUUGCUGGUAACUUAGACCCUGACACGGUGACCGACCUCCAACUAUCUGGACCUCAAUUUCUUCAACAGUCCAAAGAAGAGGCAGGACAAAUGCAGUGUUCUGUCCUAAGCUUUUAUGAAGCAGCUACCGAAUUCUGACCUCCCCACCCUAUUACAUAUUUUAUACCCUACUCCUGCAUGCUGUGAGUCUAAGAUGAGCAGGGUGUAAAAUGUAUUGCCCAACUAAAAACUAGAAAACCCUCACCAUUAAUUUUAAUCACUGCAGUCUGCCCGUUGAUCCCUUUGCAUCUUCACUUGUUCAUCCUUACUUAGUGACAGAAGACAGCGCCAGCCACCAUUGGAAAGAAAGGGUGCGAGGAGUGAGGCAGAGGAGAUAGAAGGCAGUGAAAUGCUUAGCACACAGAAGCCAGCUCUGGCCUCAGGUGAUGCAGCAGGUGCCUCGCCAUUCAUCUGACAUACCCUCCUCUUCUGAGGCCUUGGCAAUUUAGACAUGUCCUUCCCUCAGCUUUCCUCCUCUCACAAAAGUACUUGGAAGUUCAGCUCCUCACUUUGCCAGGUCAAAAAUGGCCUCUGGGUCCGGGAGACCAAGCCCAGGAGAUUUGUGACCACUCUCUUUCAUCCUCCGCCAGGACCCUGGCAGACAGCACCUAUUCACGUUACUUGAAAUGCAGCCGAAGCCUCCAGUUCCUUUCACCCUGGUCACCCAACAGCUGCCAGUCAAAUGAUGCCUCUCAGCCACCUCAGGCCUGAUUUGGAUUUGACCUACUGACCUUGAGGUGAAAGGCUCUGCAGUCCAUUAUGAAUCCCUGGGGCCAGUUCAUUCUCCCAGGAAAGCCUCUAAAUAUAUCCUUUCCGUUUGCAGGGAAAUCAGCUAUUAUAAUUUGCAAAGGUCUCGUGAGUUUAAAACAUAUUGGUGGCAGUUCAGUCCCAUAAAGAUUUAAUGAAUAGCAACUGGGUGAAAAACAACUCCUUUUUUUUUUUUUUUUGUCUUGACAAGUCAAGGAAAAGAGAAAUGAUUAGACAAGAAUAGCUAUCCCUUCAGAAACUCACAAAUUCCCUUCACUAUCUCCUUCCCAUCCCACCCUUUCCCCAGGAAUUUAAUCUUAUAUUUUUCCAAGUAUCUGUAAGAAUAGACAAACCCAAUUAUAGUUACCUACAAUUUAACAGCUGUACAGAAUAUCUAAUGAACACAUACUGUGUGCACGAGACUAUUGGUAGGGAUCUCUGGGACAAUCUUCUUUGAAGCUCUUCUAGCAAAUGCUACCUGGUUCAGACACAGUCUUCUGUUGGUCACCAGAUUGUUGCUUAAAUUAGUUGAAGCUUAUAGGACUUCAGUCAUAACCAGGAUGAGGUAAGCAUGUUACAGUACAUCUGUUCGAAUUAGAAACAUAUGCUAUGGUUGAUUCACCUUCUGAGGGUUGGCAGUUCCUAGUGCAUGGUAGGUUCCCCUGAGUGCCCAGCAACAGUCUCUAGGAGCAGCUUCCAGCUACCCUCUAAAUGAGGGGGUUCCUGAGACUUCCCCCCUCCCAGGGCGGGUUGAGGAAAGAGAAUGCAUAUUCUCACAGCGGCUCUUACAUAUACCUAGAGGAACCUGAGGAAGCCUGUCUGCCUCCCUCAUCAUACACUUUCCUGUCUGGCUGCAUGCCUUUACCCUCCUCUGAGCUGGGGUGUCAGAGGGUGACACUAAGGCUUGUUUUUAUUGGAUUGUUUCCGGUGAGUCUAUGUUCUCUAUGUAAAAGCCUCUCAAAGAAAAAAAUAACCUAUUCUCCGUUUCCUUUUGAAACUGGAAAACUUGUCUUUAAACCAAAAUAAAGACACUGUGCAGGUCACUGUGAGGAAAACCAAAAGUGUGUAAAUUGUGGUACCCCUGCCUUCCAUAAUCUUCUACUGUGGAAAUCUUUCAGAGACCUAGUUUCUCUCUCUAAUGCUCGGGUUCAAGAGCUGACAAGUGGCAUAAGAGUUCAGAAGAGAAAGCCAUCCCUUUAGGAGACAAUCAAGCAAAGCUUCACAAACGAGAUGGGCCAUAAAGAUUGUGUGCAUUCAGGUGGGUAGGGAGGAACUGAGGAAAAGUGUUCCAGGACGGGGGCUGCCUGAGCAAAAACCCGAAGACUGGUCCCUACACAGUCUGAGAGGCCCAGGUGACUUUUCUUCCUCCAUUCACGAGAAAAACUGGAUGGCUGGCUGCCCUCCUUAAGAACCAGGACCUCAUCUCCCUGGGGGUCCUGAAGUCACAUUCCAUAGAUUCUGAAAGAUGCUUUUAUGAGAAUGUUGUGACCUAAAAUAUGCUCAGGCUUAAGUCUGAGAAUCAACUCACAAUUAGGGAAACUGAAAAACAGUUCAGGGCUCCAGGAUAAAGCCAUCAGUACAGCACAUAUUCUCCUGGACUGUGAUUUGGUGAGCUUGGCAAUGCCAUUUCCUAGCUCUGGAUGGCACACACUAUGAUUUUCUGAGCUGCUCUUUUUAAACUAUAAAGAACUACAACAAAAAAAAGGAAUGAAAUGCAGUUUAAAAGACUAGUGAUCCAGAUACAUCUGAGGUAAAGACCAUGUAGGAAAAUGUUUUAGAAUAAACAAAUACACUUCCCAAAGAUCCUUACAGAUUAACCGUAGUUAUAUAGCUAGACUGCAUCAGCCCUGCUUCUUUUUAACAUGCCUCUCUCGCAGACUUUGGGGACAAAUGACCACGGUCUACUAACCUCACAUACACACAGAUGCACAUGCAUACACAGUCCCUCACAGACUUACACCAACUUGGUCUUCUUUCUGUAAGGGAGAAGGGAGUGGAGGGGCUCCUACUCUGUAUUCUGGAAUGAAACAACAGAGACAAAGAGUGCCAAUCUGUAAGGUUAAUCUGUAAGGAAAGGAUCUUUGGGAAGACUCCAAGUUAUAUAGUUAACCUCCCUUCAAAAAAGAAGAAGAAGAAGAAGAAGAAAUUGCAAAAAAGCAACUUAGGAUUCCUGACUCUCAAAGAAAAAAAACUAUUUUUGCAUUGAUAAGACUGCCAGAUUCUUAAAUAGAAUGUUUUAAAAGAUGAAUAAUCAUAAAAUACAUCCUUAGUCUAUUUUUAUAGUACAAUAAUUGACAAGUGAUACUGGAACAUUGAUUGGAAAAUUACCAUCUUGACAAUUCAGUGGUUAACAACUUGAUUUUUAAACUAUUGCUAAGUUUGACCAUAUUUUGGGCAUUUCCUUCUGCUCUGUCUACAAUGGCAAGCAUUUUUCAUUGAAACAUAUGUUUGGGUGGACAAGUGUUUUAUUUGGCAGAAACCUAAUAGUUUAAGUAUAGAUUUUUAAAUCAACUGUUUGCUCCGUAAGCUAAUGUUUUCAAACAGAAGCAUUUUUCACAAUUGUUUCCUCAAAACAAAUGUUUGUCUUGGAGCCAGUAGAGAAGGUCAAACAUUCCAGUAACCUCCUCGCUUAGGACUGUCACUACUAUUCUGUCACCUUCAAGAUCUUCUGUUGGUCUCAUUCUCUUACAGAUUUCCAUGAGUUGCUUUACAGGGCUAGUCCCCCAAAAAAUGAUUUUUUAAGAUGAGUGCAAGCAUUUCUUAAAUGACUUUUUUCUUGGUAAAAAUGAAUUGGAAGUACAUUCACAUUUAGCAAUGUUGCAUUUCAUUUGUGUAGAUGCCAUUUUACUUGUGACAUGAUUAUUGGCACUCUUUGUCUUUUCAUUGCCAGAUACAGAAUGGGUGGUAUGAGUCCUCCGCUCCCUUCUCCUUGAUGAAAAAGGAGAGGAUCAAGUUGGUGUGAGUCUGUGAGUGACUGUGUGUGUGUGUGUGUGCGCGCGCGUGCGUGAAGACAGAGGACCACUGUGAUUUAUCCCCAGAGUUUGAGAAGGGUGUUAAAAAGAAGCAGGGCUGAUCUAGUUCAGCUAUAUUACUGAGGACUCGUUCAACUGCAGGUGGCAGAAAUUAAAUUGAACUGAUCUCGACUGGGAAAAAAAGGAUUUGAUGGCUCAAAUAUUAAAAAAAAAAACAGGUUAUGGGUUUUGGGUAUAGAUGCAUUCAGAGGUUCAAACAACAUCAUGAAGUCUCAGUCUCUUAGUCUCUUCAUUCUGCCUUCCUCUGUUCUGAAUUUAAUGUCAGGCAGAAUCUUUCAUGUGGUUGCCUCCACCUUAUUCUUCUAGAAUAAGAUAGCAAUCCCAGAAGAAAAACUUCCAACAGAAAUUCUGGAAUUGAGUCUUAGACUGAUAUGGUCACCCUAUUAUCCCUGAACUAGCCAUUACAGCCAAGGAAAUAGAGUACAUUGACUGGCCAGGUCUGGACCUGAGCCCUAACCAAGCCACACAGAUUGAAACAGCCUUCAGGACAUGGCACAAGGAGGAGGAAACCAGGUGGAGACCAGCAACUUCUUGAGUCUAGGAGAUGGAGCCAAGAUUCUGGGGAGGCCAAGGUGGCUAGAGUGCAGAACAGAGGACUCAAGAGGAUAGUCCAGAUAGUCGCAGAGUCCUGGAGAGUGUUCAGCAGCAUGCUGAUCAGGUAUGUGGAUGAGUCACCCAUUUCUCCUCUCCUGAGGAAAUAAAUGAUUCUAGUACCUUAAAUAUCCUUCCAGAGAUAUUCUGUACAUAUAUAGUUAUACCUUUUCCUCAAAUGUUGUAUGAUACACUGCUCUGCAUCUUAGUUGUUUCCAUUUAAAAAUAUAGCUUAGAGAUUGUUAUAUACUUGUAAAUAAAGAUGAUUUUCAAUUUGUUUUUAUAAUGUUAUGCUCCAAUUAAUUUAAGCAGUUGUCUACUUUGUUUCUCUGCCAUCUGUAUUUUAAUAAGCAGUUCUUCAUUGAUAGCCAUUUAGAUUGUUUCAAAUCUCUUACUAUUACACAUAAUUUUGCAAUUUGGCACAUAUAUCCUUUUGCAUUUCCUGAUGAAUAUUCAAUGGUGUGCUAAGAUGGGUUUGUGACAGCCAUUUGUGAAAAGUUCAGGAAUUCUGAUAUCAGUUGAUGUUAGGACAGUAGCUUGAAAUUGGUGUGGUGGAACUACUUACACCACUAAAAUUGGCAAAGUCUACAAAUAAAAGGCUUCCAUUACCCUUUUUU
This 8721-nucleotide long non-coding RNA is filed under the name Homo sapiens (human). RNAcentral describes it as "non-protein coding lnc-PPIC-1:4". Lineage: Eukaryota; Metazoa; Chordata; Mammalia; Primates; Hominidae. The record is from RNAcentral.